RNAcentral lists this transfer RNA (62 nucleotides) under Pteropus alecto (black flying fox). It matches the Rfam family "tRNA", at positions 6 to 65 of the family's 71-position model. Rfam says of the family: Transfer RNA (tRNA) molecules are approximately 80 nucleotides in length. Their secondary structure includes four short double-helical elements and three loops (D, anti-codon, and T loops). Further hydrogen bonds mediate the characteristic L-shaped molecular structure. tRNAs have two regions of fundamental functional importance: the anti-codon, which is responsible for specific mRNA codon recognition, and the 3' end, to which the tRNAs corresponding amino acid is attached (by aminoacyl-tRNA synthetases). tRNAs cope with the degeneracy of the genetic code in two manners: having more than one tRNA (with a specific anti-codon) for a particular amino acid; and 'wobble' base-pairing, i.e. permitting non-standard base-pairing at the 3rd anti-codon position. Lineage: Eukaryota; Metazoa; Chordata; Mammalia; Chiroptera; Pteropodidae. The record is from Rfam by way of RNAcentral.
CAUAGUGUAGCAGUUAACACGUCUGCCUUACACUCAGAAGGUCCUGGGUUCGUGUCCCAGUG